This is a long non-coding RNA of Phyllostomus discolor (pale spear-nosed bat), 88 nucleotides long. RefSeq lists it as uncharacterized. Lineage: Eukaryota; Metazoa; Chordata; Mammalia; Chiroptera; Phyllostomidae. The transcript is spliced from 3 exons. The record is from RefSeq and is a predicted model, not a curated record.
CCCAAGGUCACAUGCCCUCCAGCCCGCCAAGAGGCGAUGAACUUGGCCAACAGGAAGACAAAGAAGAGAUUCAGGAUUCAAGCUCGUU